GGAAAUAGCUCAGUUGGUAGAGUGCUUGCCUCAUGUGCACAAGGUCCUGGAUUCAGUCCCCAGUACCA
This 68-nucleotide transfer RNA is filed under the name Marmota monax (woodchuck). RNAcentral's name for it is "tRNA.Met". The record is from RNAcentral. Lineage: Eukaryota; Metazoa; Chordata; Mammalia; Rodentia; Sciuridae.